RNAcentral lists this unclassified non-coding RNA (338 nucleotides) under soil metagenome. RNAcentral's name for it is "partial contains 5.8S ribosomal RNA, internal transcribed spacer 2, and large subunit ribosomal RNA". The stretch from base 1 to 120 matches the Rfam family "5.8S ribosomal RNA", at positions 35 to 154 of the family's 154-position model. The record is from RNAcentral.
GAUGAAGAACGUAGCGAAAUGCGAUAAGUAGUGUGAAUUGCAGAAUUCAGUGAAUCAUCGAAUCUUUGAACGCACAUUGCGCCCCUUGGUAUUCCAUGGGGCAUGCCUGUUCGAGCGUCAUCUACACCCUCAAGCUCUGCUUGGUGUUGGGCGUCUGUCCCGCCCCCGCGCGUGGACUCGCCCCAAAUCCAUUGGCAGCGUUCCUUGCCCCCUCUCGCGCAGCACAUUGCGCUUCUCGAGGGCGGCUCCGGGACGCGAUCCGGCAAGAUGACCACCGUCUUUGACCUCGGAUCAGGUAGGGAUACCCGCUGAACUUAAGCAUAUCAAUAAGCGGAGGA